This 444-nucleotide ribosomal RNA is filed under the name uncultured bacterium. Its description in RNAcentral is "partial 16S ribosomal RNA". It matches the Rfam family "Bacterial small subunit ribosomal RNA", at positions 338 to 795 of the family's 1533-position model. The record is from RNAcentral.
CCUACGGGUGCGCAGCAGUGGGGAAUAUUGGGCAAUGGGCGCAAGCCUGACACAGCAACGCCGCGUGAAGGAAGAAGGCUUUCGGGUUGUAAACUUCUUUUGUCAUGGACGAAGCAAGUGACGGUACCUGACGAAUAAGCCACGGAUAACCACGUGCCAGCAGCCGCGGACAUACGGAGGUGGCAAGCGUUAUGCGGAUUGACUGGGUGUAAAGGGCGUGGAGGCGGGAACGCAAGUCAGAGUUGAAAACCACGGGCUCAACCUGUGGCCUGCAUUUGAAAAUUUAGUUCUUGAGUACUGGAGAGGCAGACGGAAGUCCUAGUGUAGCGGUGAAAUGCGUAGAUAUUAGGAGGAACACCAGUGGCGAAGGCGGUCUGCUGGACAGCAACUGACGCUGAGGCGCGAAAGCGUGGGGAGCAAACAGGAUUAGAUACCCCAGUAGUC